UCUGAAGUGCUUUGCGAGCACCCGUUUGUGGCAUUUUAACGGGACGGAUCUUCAGUAUUUUCAGUAUGGAAUUACGCCAUGACCUUCAUCAAUCGCCUGUCAAUCAAAAUGUGACAUCCUUGGUUACGGCGCUGACAAGUGACGUCCAUUGUUUUAGAAGUUGGCGUCUAUUUGUCUACUUGUCUGCCUAUCGUCUCAUUGCCUGUUGUCCAUCUGUCUGUCUGUCUUCCUGUACUGUAUAUUUAUUGUCUGUCUGCCUUGUCCUUUUGUCCUUCUCUGUGCCUGCCAUUUCUGGCCCGCCCCAACGGUUCUUUUAAGAACCAAAGUUCUGCUGUCAAUAUGGCUUCAAAGGAAGAUGCUGAGGAUGCUCAUCUUAGGGAGUUUCUGAAACAAGGUCAAGCUUAUGCCAAGGACCUUAAUCCUCAACCGG
Long non-coding RNA from Osmerus eperlanus (European smelt), 430 nucleotides. RefSeq lists it as uncharacterized. The transcript has 3 exons. The record is from RefSeq and is a predicted model, not a curated record. NCBI's taxonomy places the organism in Eukaryota, Metazoa, Chordata, Actinopteri, Osmeriformes, Osmeridae.